CUGGCGGCAGGCUUACACAUGCAAGUCGAGCGGGGUGAUGGUGCUUGCACUAUCACUUAGCGGCGGACGGGUGAGUAAUGCUUAGGAAUCUGCCUAUUAGUGGGGGACAACAUCUCGAAAGGGAUGCUAAUACCGCAUACGUCCUACGGGAGAAAGCAGGGGAUCACUUGUGACCUUGCGCUAAUAGAUGAGCCUAAGUCGGAUUAGCUAGUUGGUGGGGUAAAGGCCUACCAAGGCGACGAUCUGUAGCGGGUCUGAGAGGAUGAUCCGCCACACUGGGACUGAGACACGGCCCAGACUCCUACGGGAGGCAGCAGUGGGGAAUAUUGGACAAUGGGGGGAACCCUGAUCCAGCCAUGCCGCGUGUGUGAAGAAGGCCUUAUGGUUGUAAAGCACUUUAAGCGAGGAGGAGGCUCUUUUGGUUAAUACCCAGGAUGAGUGGACGUUACUCGCAGAAUAAGCACCGGCUAACUCUGUGCCAGCAGCCGCGGUAAUACAGAGGGUGCAAGCGUUAAUCGGAUUUACUGGGCGUAAAGCGCGCGUAGGCGGCCAAUUAAGUCAAAUGUGAAAUCCCCGAGCUUAACUUGGGAAUUGCAUUCGAUACUGGUUGGCUAGAGUGUGGGAGAGGAUGGUAGAAUUCCAGGUGUAGCGGUGAAAUGCGUAGAGAUCUGGAGGAAUACCGAUGGCGAAGGCAGCCAUCUGGCCUAACACUGACGCUGAGGUGCGAAAGCAUGGGGAGCAAACAGGAUUAGAUACCCUGGUAGUCCAUGCCGUAAACGAUGUCUACUAGCCGUUGGGGCCUUUGAGGCUUUAGUGGCGCAGCUAACGCGAUAAGUAGACCGCCUGGGGAGUACGGUCGCAAGACUAAAACUCAAAUGAAUUGACGGGGGCCCGCACAAGCGGUGGAGCAUGUGGUUUAAUUCGAUGCAACGCGAAGACCCUUACCUGGUCUUGACAU
Molecule: ribosomal RNA, 958 nt
Filed under: Acinetobacter sp. M.pstv.44.4
Lineage: Bacteria; Pseudomonadati; Pseudomonadota; Gammaproteobacteria; Moraxellales; Moraxellaceae
Description: bacterial SSU rRNA
Rfam family: Bacterial small subunit ribosomal RNA
Source: RNAcentral